GCGGAUGUAGCCAAGUGGAUCAAGGCAG
Molecule: transfer RNA, 28 nt
Filed under: Neopanax arboreus (five finger)
Lineage: Eukaryota; Viridiplantae; Streptophyta; Magnoliopsida; Apiales; Araliaceae
Also listed under: 17 other names
Description: partial tRNA-His
Source: RNAcentral